This 1853-nucleotide unclassified non-coding RNA is filed under the name Hevea brasiliensis (rubber tree). The record is from RNAcentral. Lineage: Eukaryota; Viridiplantae; Streptophyta; Magnoliopsida; Malpighiales; Euphorbiaceae.
GUUUUGGUUCUCGAUUCUAUAGAAUUACAGUACCUUUCAAACAGGAGCAGAAAACGGAAAAUGAAAAGAAAAAAAACAGUUCCCGUUCUUCUUUCUAAUUUUCUGAUUAUAUAGCUUAAUAACAUUUUAUAAUUUGUACUCACUCGCUUAACAAAACAAAUGUUAGAAUUAACAAAAUCUUUUAGGGUUUUUCCCUGAGAAGGGAAGCCAAUCCAGUGACGACCACUUUGGGUUUCUUCGGCUUCACUGCCGGAGGUUGCCACGUCAUCAUUACCGGCUUCUCUUCCUCGCCGGAAGUAUUCUCCAACGGAUUUUUUGUUGGAUCGGAGUCUAACGGUACCGUUUUAUCAGAAAAAAUCAAGUCCAACUCGCCGUACUCACUUUCCGACUCCGUGAUCUCAGCAGCGGCGUUUGAUGAUUCAACCGCAGAUGUGACUCUAGUAUACGAGCUGAGCCAUUUGGCUUUCAUGUACUCCGGGUUGCGCCAUGGAGCGAUGUGCAUACCUUUCUUCUUCAAGCUUUGUCGAGCUGCUUCUGAGACGAUUGACACUAUUUGCACAAGUCGAUCGGCUUUGCCGACGAAGAUAAACGGGAGCAAUUGCAGAAUUGAUUUGUACCUUCCCGUCGAUCGCGCUACUUCAAAUUCAGAUCUGAAAUCUACGUCGAGUAUCACUCUUUCGCCUUCCUCAAUCACAUCAAUAUACUCAUAUUCACCUGCAGGAGUAGAAGAAGCUUUUUCCCAUUUGGAUUUGCAGAUUGAAGCUUUAUAGCCAAGUGCUAAAAGUUCAUCAGUAACAAUUUUUCUCAAAUCGUCCUUACGCUUGCAAGAUUUGUUCUCUUCAACGAUUUUUGAAGUUUCAGCUAAUAGAUUCCUCUCGGUAACACUUGCACAGGGAAUUAAGCUCUUUAGAGUGUCGGAAGAAUCCCCAAACGAAGAGGAGUUGGUAACAGAGUCGAAAUCAAACUCAUCAUCGGAGCUAUCGUUGUUGCCAUUAAAGCAAUUGCAUUUACGGCCAAAUCUAGCGGCAGACGGCUUAUCAUUGUUCUCUUCUAUGAAAUUCUGAACCAAUUUGUCCAAAGAAACCGAAUUCGGCUCAAACUCAGCGGCUGCUCCAUCAUUAGCAGCGCCGGCGGCACCUGGCUUCUCAGCGGCCGACGAAAUCCGUAAAACACUAGGGAACGGCCGAUCAAAGAACUUUUUGAUUCGUGCUUUCAGCAAAGGCUUUACUGCAUCAUUUUUAAUCGAUUCUCUGUAUGUCGAAGAAUCAAUCGGUUGAACCUUCAUCGGAAAAGGCAUGUCUAUCAACCACAACCACAACCAAAACAGGUACUACUUCUUCUACUGUAAAACUCUCUCUCUCUGCAGCUUAAUUAUACUCUUUUUGUCAUUUUCUGCUGAAUUCUCAGAACUUAAAAAACCUACUCGCUUUGCGUGUCUAGAUCAGAAUCCUUUAAAUGCCUAAAUCCUUAAUCACAGAAAUACAUGCAAAUUCACAGAAAUCAAUGCUUUGAAAAGAAGCGAGUUCCUAAUUCAUUCACACCUAAUUCACCUUUUCCUUUUCACACAUCAAAAACCCGUUUCCAACACAAUCACACAUAAACCGUUCACCAUUAUCAUCUUCACGUUUCCAACUGUGAUGAAAACAAAAAAAAAGUUAAAAUUGUCAAAUUUUGAUACCUUUUUCUUCCGUUCACUCUUUGGAGUUGUUGGCGUAGUUGAACAAGAAUAGAAUGAGUGUAACCAUAGUCGCCGGAGUACCUUUCCUUUUCACGGGAAGGAGAGAAUUAUGUGAAGGAGAGAAAAAGUGGGCCUAUAUUUCUUUUUUCUAUUUUUAUCUCAGUUUUGGUUUUUU